Molecule: ribosomal RNA, 468 nt
Filed under: uncultured bacterium
Lineage: Bacteria
Description: partial 16S ribosomal RNA
Rfam family: Bacterial small subunit ribosomal RNA
Source: RNAcentral
GACGAACGCUGGCGGCGUGCUUAAUACAUGCAAGUCGAGCGGACAGGCCAUGCUUUUGUGGCGCGCUCGUGUGGCGAACGCGUGAGUAACACGUGUGUAUACUGUCCCUGAAUUUGUGAUAUCUUCAGGAGAAAGGGGCUCUUACCGGAUAGAAUCUUCUGCUGCAUGGUGUGGGUUAGUAAGUUUCGGUGGUUGGGGAUGGACUCGCGGCUUAUCCGCUUGUUGGUGGAGUAGUGGCUUUCCAAGGUUUUGACGGGUAGCAGGCCUGAGAGGGUGAGCAGCCACAUUGGGACUGAGGUGCGGCCCAGACACCUACGGGAGGCAGCAGUGGGGAAUACUGCACGAUGGGCGGAGGCCGGAUGCAGCAACUCCGCGUACGGUAUAACGGCCUUCGGAUUGUAGACCGCUUUCGCCUGUGACGAAGCGUGAGUGACGGUAAUGGGUAAAGAAGCACCGGCUAACUACGUG